This 448-nucleotide long non-coding RNA is filed under the name Rattus norvegicus (Norway rat). Its description in RNAcentral is "long non-coding RNA NONRATT032770". The record is from RNAcentral. Lineage: Eukaryota; Metazoa; Chordata; Mammalia; Rodentia; Muridae.
GUCUGAGUCUGAAAUAGAAGAGUGGACAGCCAUCGUCUCAGAGCUAGCUCCUCAGCGGUUUCAACCAACACAUAGCAGUUGACCAACCCGGUGUACAUUACACAGGGUCUGUUCUCGGAUGGCUUUGAAAUCGUGACCCUCCUACCUCACCCUCCAUAGGGACGGUCCAUCACACCAGACUGAGCGCAAAAAAUUACAAGGUCCCACCCUCCGGACAGCGUUUUGUUUAUGACAGCCAGGACCCAGUAGGUGAGUGAAUGAACAGAGGAGGUGAGGUUGUGAACCAGGUAAGCCAGAUCUAGGAAGGUGUGGUUUUGUGGGUGUGGAGUAGGGUAGUGCAUGACUGUUGCUCUUAGCAUGCCGGAGGCUGAAGCGGAAGGAAACCAAGGUCGAUGAUAGUCUGGGCUGCACAUUGAGUUCCUUUCUCAUGCCCCUCUUUCCUGCACUG